Molecule: ribosomal RNA, 120 nt
Filed under: Scophthalmus maximus (turbot)
Lineage: Eukaryota; Metazoa; Chordata; Actinopteri; Pleuronectiformes; Scophthalmidae
Source: RNAcentral
GCUUACGGCCACACUGCCUAGUUCACGCCCGAUCUCGUUUGAUCUCGGAAGCUAAGAUAGGGUGGGCCUGGUUAAUACUUGGAUGGGAGACCCCCCUGGGAAUACCAGGUGCUGUAAGCU